RNAcentral lists this ribosomal RNA (26 nucleotides) under Megalurothrips usitatus (bean blossom thrips). RNAcentral describes it as "partial 28S ribosomal RNA". The record is from RNAcentral. Lineage: Eukaryota; Metazoa; Arthropoda; Insecta; Thysanoptera; Thripidae.
GCCUCAGUUCGGGUGAGAUUACCCCC